RNAcentral lists this long non-coding RNA (2070 nucleotides) under Panax ginseng (ginseng). RNAcentral's name for it is "long non-coding RNA (PGIN_LNC003895)". The record is from RNAcentral. Lineage: Eukaryota; Viridiplantae; Streptophyta; Magnoliopsida; Apiales; Araliaceae.
AUUCACAGUGUUCAAUGUAAUGGGAUGUAUGGACUCGUAAAUGAUCAGGUAGUCGAUAACAACAGAAGUCAACAAGGUAAAUGUUGUUUGAUCUAAUUAUAUAAACCAGUAGUGUAAUAAGGGCCAUAAUGGGACCACACAUCAUGUACACACAAUUUUUGGGGUGAGGUUUCAUACGACAUACACAUGAUUUCCUCUCUUCUUAUUUUAUUUUGGAAGUUGUGGGUGUAGGGGAGGGUUAUUCUGGUUGUUUUUGGAAGUUGUAGAUGUGAUUAUUAGCCUCUUGAGCUUUGUUUAUUUUUGGGUUUGCAGUGGAGUUAUUUGGGGCUCUUAGAGGCCGACUAUAUAACAGCAACAAAAAUUUGAUCAUGGCUACUUUGUCUACUAUUAGUGGUAUUGCAUCUACAAUGGGCUCACUGCACUUUAAAUCAUAUUGUUGUGCAAUGCUUGGGAUUCAGUCUCAGAGAAACACAAUUAUCUGUGUCAUUCAAAAUAUCAAUAGGUUAGCUACUUAAUAUCAUUAGUGAAUCCUAAAAAAUUGUUCUUGCUUUAUAGAGCUAUUUUGAGAAGGCAUUUGAAUUUUUCAAGAAAGCAGUAGAUGAGGUACGUCUUUUUCUUAGUUAUUUUUUAAAUUUGUAAUAAAUUAACUCUUGUUUAUCAUUAUGCGUUAGAGCCUAACUGAACUUUACGGUUUAUACGUUACUCUUCUAGAGUCUAGGGAAUGAGCUAUAUUUGAAGUCCUUGGAAGCCACUGCCAAGGUAUUGUUGUCAGUCCUUUGGCCUAUUCUAUACUCAUUUUUGUUAUAUUUGGUUUGUUCCCUAUGGAAAUUGGAGGUCCAUCUAAUUUGAUGUUAUGGAGUCUUGAUGUGUUGGAAUAUGACUCCGGGGUUGGGUAUACAUAACCGAGAUAUAGUAGCUUUUUCAUAACUUUUACACUCCAGGUAGAGCAAGGUUGGUGUGCAAGUAAUUUUCAAUCAUGGAAAGGAUGAAGGUUUUGCGGAUAAGAGAGGGGGCUCGAAAAAGGGGAUUAUGAGUGCUGACUUUCCAUAUGGUUUGACUCACAUUGGCUACUUCAUAUUGAUUAAAAUAGGUAGCAAAUUUGAAAUCAUGUUGAGGUUAAAUCCUUGAGUUUCACUAGCUUAGUUCAGGUUAAAUGUUCUGGGUGAUAUUAGGUGGCCAAAGUUACCGCUGUCACUUGUUAUUGAUGUAAUGAAAAUCAAUUCGAGGAACCAAUUUGUGGAAAUAUUUUACUUGACAACUGAGAGGCAAAGCUAUUAGCUUGUAUGUCAGCUGAGAGGCAAAGCUAGAUCAUAAUCUCUAAUUAAUUGGUGCACUCUUUAUUAUUCUUGAGAAAUAGAAGCACUGGCAUGGUGAGUAUCCUGAUAAACACCUAUGGGUUUAAAAUUCUGUAGAGAACUACUAAUCUAAUUUGAGCUAUGGUUGCACCUCAAAUCAGAUGACUACACCUGAUUGCCAAUACAUGCUCUUAUAAAUGUUGAGUAAUUAAAUAAAACAUAUGCGGCAGCUUGCUUCUUUACUGACAAGAACAAAUAACCACAAGACACAGAGCCGUCCAACAUCAGCUCCCAAAUUACUGCUUUGUUUUACAAAACUGACCUGCUUUUUACGUGGUUAACAUAUGAGAUGUGAAAUAUGUGUUAACAUUUUACGUGUUAACAUAUAUUUCACAUCAGUAUAGCAGUAUAGCAGGUUAGGGAUAUGUGUUAUAUUUCAUAUUUCAUGUACAACCAACAUAUAUUUCACAUCAGUACACCAUCUUGCUCCUUAAAUAUGUGUUAACAUUUUACGUGGUUAGGAAUUAUGUUAAAAGUCAUUCAUGUGAUUGGUCAGUUAUCUUGCCAUACAUCAGUAUAGCAGGUCAGAUUUGGUAUCCUUGUGAUUUGGUAUCUUUGUUGAAUACUAAAUUUGUUGUUCUUUUAUUUCAGUGGGAUAAGGCAUGUGGAUUAACGUACACACAAGAACAAAUUGACGAAGUACGGGAUGAGUGGGCAAUAUACAUGAGCAGCUAUACGUAGAGCCUCGAGUUAACGGUGAAUAUGUUAGAUGAAU